UACGAGAGGCCCAAACGUUAUUCGGAAUUACUGGGCUUAAAGAGUUCGUAGGCGGCAUGAAAAGCAGGGUGUGAAAGCCCUCGGCUCAACCGAGGAAUUGCGCUCUGAACUGUCGUGCUAGAGGAAUCUAGAGGUGAGCGGAACUGAUGGUGGAGCGGUGAAAUGCGUUGAUAUCAUCAGGAACACCGGAGGCGAAGGCGGCUCACUGGGGAUUUUCUGACGCUGAGGAACGAAAGCCAGGGGAGCGAUCCGG
RNAcentral lists this ribosomal RNA (253 nucleotides) under uncultured bacterium. RNAcentral's name for it is "partial 16S ribosomal RNA". It matches the Rfam family "Bacterial small subunit ribosomal RNA", at positions 524 to 776 of the family's 1533-position model. The record is from RNAcentral.